CCUACGGGAGGCAGCAGUGGGGAAUUUUGCGCAAUGGGGGAAACCCUGACGCAGCAACGCCUCGUGCGGGACGAAGGCCCUCGGGUUGUAAACCGCUUUCAGCAGGGAAGACUUUACGACGGUACCUGCAGAAGAAGCUCCGGCUAACUACGUGCCAUCAGCCGCGGUAAUACGUAGGUGGCGAGCGUUAUCCGGAGGCAUUGUGCGAAAAGCGCGCGUAGGCGGCCGCCUAAGCGGGACCUCAAACCCCGGGGCUCAACCCCGGGCCGGGUCCCGGACUGGGCGGCUCGAGUGCGGUAGAGGAGAGCGGAAUUCCCGGUGUAGCGGUGGAAUGCGCAGAUAUCGGGAAGAACACCGAUGGCGAAGGCAGCUCUCUGGGCCGUCACUGAUGCUGAGGCGCGAAAGCUGGGGGAGCGAACAGGAUUAGAUACCCUGGUAGUC
Molecule: ribosomal RNA, 441 nt
Filed under: uncultured bacterium
Lineage: Bacteria
Description: partial 16S ribosomal RNA
Rfam family: Bacterial small subunit ribosomal RNA
Source: RNAcentral